Molecule: long non-coding RNA, 779 nt
Organism: Lytechinus variegatus (green sea urchin)
Lineage: Eukaryota; Metazoa; Echinodermata; Echinoidea; Temnopleuroida; Toxopneustidae
Exons: 2
Source: RefSeq, a predicted model, not a curated record
GUUAGGUUAAAUCCGCUCUCCAUGCCACAAUGGCACCACAUUUUGGUGUGAUAUCGUGCAACCACUUGAAAAGAAAAUUGAAAAUAUGCAUCCUUUUUUUUUGUAUUGUUUGCACUCUAAAUGCUGCAACUCUGCAGAGUUUAAUGCAGCAGAUGGUGCAGAUUUUGUCUUUUUGUAGACGGUUCAACUCUUUUUGAACCCUUCAUGGUGUAGCCGCCUACACAACUCAUGAAGGUGGAAAAGGCCUAUUUUGAGUGAGAAGUUUAUCCUUCGAAAGAGCUUCCAGUGUGACAGUUAAAGGGUGAAUUAUUCAACCCAUUUGUGUGAUUAAUUACGGAUUUUUCGCACCCUCGACACAGAGCGCUGUUAAGAACAUAGAGAAUCUAUUAUCAAAUAUCAUUCAUGACAAUAAAAUGAUAUUUUGUCGAGGGUUGGUGAAGUCUUUGUCGAGGGUUGGUGGAUCGAAACAGCAGAUUCGUCCUGGACUGUGCACAAACUACAUUAUGUGCAAUUUUUCGUCAGCUCCCAAACGUAGAGCGAAACUGUUCUUCCGAUUCACCAUUUUUCGACAAAGACCUCCCAGUUUGUCAUUGUGAUUCGAAUUGCAUUUUCAAUGCAAUUGCUGUGUUCUAGGAUUCGUUAUGAGUAGCGACGUGAAUUAAAACUCCAUAUUAAUAGAUGGAAUGCUUACUGUUAAUGCCAAUUAGAGCUAACGGACCGUUCUGCCUAUAUCACGUACACAUUGUAGGUCUACCCUUUACUGCUUUAUGCAAUCAAUG